This is a long non-coding RNA of Meriones unguiculatus (Mongolian gerbil), 404 nucleotides long. RefSeq lists it as uncharacterized. NCBI's taxonomy places the organism in Eukaryota, Metazoa, Chordata, Mammalia, Rodentia, Muridae. The transcript is spliced from 3 exons. The record is from RefSeq and is a predicted model, not a curated record.
CUUAUCAGAGGCAAUGUUUUUUUUUCCCCCUCUGGCUGUUUCUUUUACAGUCUUGACAUUUUGGAAGGGAACUUCAAGACCAUGUGAUUUAAGAGGAGAAAAAAUGAAGAUAGCCCAUGUGCCUGGAGGGCCAGCUGGCCGUGGGGAAGGCACAUAGCUAUUAUUUGGUAGCCUCUGGGCAAACACUGCGGAAAAGUUGACUAGUAAUUACUCCAGUAAAGCCAAAGUCUAGAAUCAUGAGAACUCUCAGAUUCACAGCACUGGGGAUUAUCCUGUCCUGUCUCUCCAGUAUUUGCUUUUAUAUGGGUUCAGGGGACCACAAUUUGAUCUUUCAGCUUAAGGCAAGCCCUCUACUGACAGAAGCAGAGCUGCGUUUUGAUAUUGCUUCAUCUCUGGAAUAAGAG